RNAcentral lists this ribosomal RNA (781 nucleotides) under Acinetobacter venetianus. RNAcentral describes it as "bacterial SSU rRNA". It matches the Rfam family "Bacterial small subunit ribosomal RNA", at positions 57 to 832 of the family's 1533-position model. Lineage: Bacteria; Pseudomonadati; Pseudomonadota; Gammaproteobacteria; Moraxellales; Moraxellaceae. The record is from RNAcentral.
GCAAGUCGAGCGGGGGAGGUAGCUUGCUACUGGACCUAGCGGCGGACGGGUGAGUAAUGCUUAGGAAUCUGCCUAUUAGUGGGGGACAACAUUCCGAAAGGAAUGCUAAUACCGCAUACGUCCUACGGGAGAAAGCAGGGGACCUUCGGGCCUUGCGCUAAUAGAUGAGCCUAAGUCGGAUUAGCUAGUUGGUGGGGUAAAGGCCUACCAAGGCGACGAUCUGUAGCGGGUCUGAAGGAUGAUCCGCCACACUGGGACUGAGACACGGCCCAGACUCCUACGGGAGGCAGCAGUGGGGAAUAUUGGACAAUGGGGGGAACCCUGAUCCAGCCAUGCCGCGUGUGUGAAGAAGGCCUUAUGGUUGUAAAGCACUUUAAGCGAGGAGGAGGCUACUAGUAUUAAUACUACUGGAUAGUGGACGUUACUCGCACAAUAAGCACCGGCUAACUCUGUGCCAGCAGCCGCGGUAAUACAGAGGGUGCGAGCGUUAAUCGGAUUUACUGGGCGUAAAGCGUGCGUAGGCGGCCAUUUAAGUCACAUGUGAAAUCCCCGAGCUUAACUUGGGAAUUGCAUUCGAUACUGGAUGGCUAGAGUAUGGGAGAGGAUGGUAGAAUUCCACGUGUAGCGGUGAAAUGCGUAGAGAUCUGGAGGAAUACCGAUGGCGAAAGCAGCCAUCUGGCCUAAUACUGACGCUGAGGUACGAAAGCAUGGGGAGCAAAACAGGAUUAGAUACCCUGGUUAGUCCAUGCCGUAAACGAUGUCUACUAGCCGUUGGCGCCUU